UUUGGCUUUGUUCCAAGGUUAGAACUCGGACCUUUGAUUCAUUGAACUUAUUUGCACAGUCUUCGUCGUGUCGCAACGGCAGAAGCCCGCUUGGCUUUGUCCCGAGGUUAGAACUCGGACCUUUGAUCCAUUGAACUUAUUUGCACAGUAUUCGUCGUGUCGCAAUGCUAGAAGCCCGCUUGGCUUCGUCCCGAGGUUAGAACUCGGACCUCAGAUUCAUUGAACUUAUUUGCACAGUAUUCGUCUUGUCGCAACGGUAGAAGCCCGCUUGGCUUUGUCCCGAGGUUAGAACUCGGAUCUUUUAUUCACUGAACUUAUUUGCACAGUAUUCGUCGUGUCGCAACGGUAGAAGCCCGCUUGGAUUUGUCCCGAGGUUAGAACUCGCACCUUUGAUUCAUUGAACUUAUUUGCACAGUAUUCGUCGUGUCUCAACGGUAGAAGCCCGCUUGGCUUUGUCCCGAGGUUAGAACUCGGACCUUUGAUUCAUUGAACUUAUUUGCGCAGUAUUCGUCGUGUCGCAACGGUAGAAGCCCGUUUGGCUUUGUCCCAAGGUUAGAACUCGGACCUUUGAUUCAUUGAACUUAUUUGCACAGUCUUCGUAGUGUCGCAACGGCAGAAGCCCGCUUGGCUUUGUCCCGAGGUUAGAACUCGGACCUUUGAUCCAUUGAACUUAUUUGCACAGUAUUCGUCGUGUCGCAAUGCUAGAAGCCCGCUUGGCUUCGUCCCGAGGUUAGAACUCGGACCUCAGAUUCAUUGAACUUAUUUGCACAGUAUUCGUCUUGUCGCAACGGUAGAAGCCCGCUUGGCUUUGUCCCGAGGUUAGAACUCGGACCUCAGAUUCAUUGAACUUAUUUGCACAGUAUUCGUCUUGUCGCAACGGUAGAAGCCCGCUUGGCUUUGUCCCGAGGUUAGAACUCGGACCUCAGAUUCAUUGAACUUAUUUGCACAGUAUUCGUCUUGUCGCAACGGUAGAAGCCCGCUUGGCUUUGUCCCGAGGUUUGAAUUCGUGGUGGUUAUUUCGACCAUUGCACCUAUAGUUUGUGAAACGUCAUUGUGUUUUUAGCAUUCGAUGCACCUCUUUGGCUUUGGCUUCAGAGUGUACUGCAAUGCGGUUGUUUCGGCAUUUCAACGAAAUUCUUAUAAAACAGUUUUCUUGUCACAAACAAGGAUUUCAAAUUUCAUACAAGUUCUCGGUCCUCUCACAUUUCUGACUGCGUCCGCCAAAAUGUUUCAAGUGGCAGGUCAUGAUGGCUCUGCUUGUGAAGCUCCUACAUUUUUGCGUCCGCCGUCACGCGGUUUGGUUUCCGAAGUGAUCGCCACUUUGACAUCCUCCCUUAGGGUCUGUUAGAGCACUUCUUUACUUGGCUUUGACCGGUGGUCUGAUCUCGGAGUGAUUGCUUCACACAUUGAGCGGAUUUGUUGUAUAAUGAUGCUGGUAUUGGAAAGUUUGAAGUGCUCGUUUGGUGUUGCCUGUUAAUCUGACAUGUUUCUUUCGUGUAUACUCUCUUGUAGGGCGCGAGAGUUUCAUACAUGGCCUCUGUUUCUUUGCAUGUCGCUCAUCACAAAUUUAGAACCUCACGACGCCACUGGUAAAGUGCACAGUGUGAAUAAGUGGGAAAGGGGUGGGUGUUUGCCCUCACCAAAAAACACUCUGGCCAAUGCAAAGGCUUCCACGUUUUGACUCUCAAUAAAGCUGGUUCGCGGUGCUAGCCCACUGUGCUCGUAAUUUAUGCAGUUUGAAUCAUUUCGAUUCGAUGAAUACAAGCAUCCGCUUUGAAGUGCUGUGUACUUCUCAAUCUGUGUACCCCCUCUGCUGUUUGUACAGGUAAAUACGCGCACUAAAAUAUCAAGGGUCGUUAGACAAUGGAACCUUACAGAAAUUGUUGCUAUCAUAGACAAAUCACACAGUCGGGCAUCGGAUCAGCAUAUUGCUUUGUCGAAGUGUGCCACAUGAAUUUUUGCCCUGUGUAACUCUUAUAUUUGUACAUCGGACAUUUUCUCCACUGUUGCUGUUUGUUUAUCGCCUCAAGGACGCAAUGAUUAAGUUAAGCAAUUUAACAACGUGUAAUUAUUAGCGUGAUUUUAGGCCUCUUUACAGCUAUAUUACAUCCUAUCAUUGUAACCAUCGGUCACUUCUAACACCACAUUGUGCUCUUUGGCCACACCUGGCCCUCGCUCCACAAUAACCCACGAAUCAUAAUCACCAACGAUGUAUAAUUAUUGCAUAGUUUGUAUUAGCCGAUACUUAAAUUUCCAUGACCAUUAGCUCAAGUGACUGUGUGCACAUUGAUUGAAAAGUCAAUAAAAAUGUUAACUGUU
Molecule: long non-coding RNA, 2319 nt
Organism: Rhipicephalus sanguineus (brown dog tick)
Lineage: Eukaryota; Metazoa; Arthropoda; Arachnida; Ixodida; Ixodidae
Exons: 5
Source: RefSeq, a predicted model, not a curated record